Molecule: long non-coding RNA, 328 nt
Organism: Alexandromys fortis (reed vole)
Lineage: Eukaryota; Metazoa; Chordata; Mammalia; Rodentia; Cricetidae
Exons: 3
Source: RefSeq, a predicted model, not a curated record
UUUGAGCUUCUAAUUAUUUCACUGUAUGUAUGUAGACGAUUGGUUUAUUCUAAAUACAAUGUUACCAGUGUUAUAGUAUCGUCAUUUUUAGAAGGUGAAGCGAAAUCUUCUGUGAAAUGAUUUUGUAUCUCUUCGGUUUAUGAUAUAAACAAGGCGGGUGAAAACAAAGAACCAUCAACCGGCAAGUGUUUGGCUUCAGAGAAAGGGAAACUUUCAAGACUGGAUUAUCACUGCUGUGCAUCCCCCCCCCCCCAUGAAUCUGGACCAGUGCUGGCUACUCAAGAACUAUCGGGAAGGGAAGCAACAGCUCUUAUAUCAGCAAGUUCAC